This is a non-coding RNA of Gossypium raimondii (Peruvian cotton), 107 nucleotides long. The record is from Rfam. NCBI's taxonomy places the organism in Eukaryota, Viridiplantae, Streptophyta, Magnoliopsida, Malvales, Malvaceae.
AAUCUAUAGUGUGGGCAUUUUUGAAUCAAGAUUUUGAAACAUUCCUAUUCCUCAUAGAAACUUUCUCCCUCCAUCUAUCUAAAGAUAAAAAUCUCUCUUCUUAGUUU